RNAcentral lists this ribosomal RNA (490 nucleotides) under uncultured bacterium. RNAcentral describes it as "partial 16S ribosomal RNA". It matches the Rfam family "Bacterial small subunit ribosomal RNA", at positions 30 to 507 of the family's 1533-position model. The record is from RNAcentral.
AUUGAACGCUGGCGGCAGGCCUAACACAUGCAAGUCGAACGGUAACAGGAAGAAGCUUGCUUCUUUGCUGACGAGUGGCGGACGGGUGAGUAAUGUCUGGGAAACUGCCUGAUGGAGGGGGAUAACUACUGGAAACGGUAGCUAAUACCGCAUAACGUCGCAAGACCAAAGAGGGGGACCUUCGGGCCUCUUGCCAUCGGAUGUGCCCAGAUGGGAUUAGCUUGUAGGUGGGGUAACGGCUCACCUAGGCGACGAUCCCUAGCUGGUCUGAGAGGAUGACCAGCCACACUGGAACUGAGACACGGUCCAGGCUCCUACGUGAGGCAGCAGUGGGGAAUAUUGCACAAUGGGCGCAAGCCUGAUGCAGCCAUGCCGGGUGGAUGAAGAAGGCCUUCGGGUUGUAAAGUACUUUCAGCGGGGAGGAAGGGAGUAAAGUUAAUACCUGUACUCAUUGACGUUACCCGCAGAAGAAGCACCGGCUAACUCCGUG